UACAGAGGGUGCAAGCGUUAAUCGGAAUUACUGGGCGUAAAGCGUGCGUAGGUGGUUCUUUAAGUCAGGUGUGAAAUCCCUGGGCUCAACCUGGGAACUGCAUUUGAUACUGAAGAGCUAGAGUGUGGUAGAGGAUAGUGGAAUUCCCGGUGUAGCGGUGAAAUGCGUAGAUAUCGGGAGGAACAUCAGUGGCGAAGGCGGCUAUCUGGACUAACACUGACACUGAGGCACAAAAGCGUGGGUAGCAAACAGGAUUAGAAACCCCCGUAGUCC
This 273-nucleotide ribosomal RNA is filed under the name uncultured bacterium. RNAcentral's name for it is "partial 16S ribosomal RNA". It matches the Rfam family "Bacterial small subunit ribosomal RNA", at positions 524 to 796 of the family's 1533-position model. The record is from RNAcentral.